UGCAGUCGAGCGAUGAAGCACCUUCGGGUGUGAAUUAGCGGCGAACGGGUGAGGAACACGUGAAGAAUCUGCCUUCAACUCUGGGAUAACUCCGGGAAACCGGGGCUAAUACCGGAUAUGAGCCUUGAUCGCAUGAUCGGGGCUGGAAAGUUUUUCGGUUGAAGAUGACUUCGCGGCCUAUCAGCUUGUUGGUGAGGUAAUGGCUCACCAAGGCGACGACGGGUAGCCGGCCUGAGAGGGCGACCGGCCACACUGGGACUGAGACACGGCCCAGACUCCUACGGGAGGCAGCAGUGGGGAAUAUUGGGCAAUAGAAGAAACUCUGACCCAGCGACGCCGCGUGAGGGAUGAAGGCCUUCGGGUUGUAAACCUCUUUCAGUAGGGAAGAAGCGAAAGUGACGGUACCUACAGAAGAAGCACCGGCUAACUAUGUGCCAGCAGCCGCGGUAAUACAUAGGGUGCAAGCGUUGUCCGGAAUUAUUGGGCGUAAAGAGCUCGUAGGUGGUUCGAUACGUCGGAUGUGAAAAUCAGGGGCUCAACCCCUGACCUGCAUCCGAUACGGUCGAGCUAGAGUUUGGUAGGGGAGACUGGAAUUCCUGGUGUAGCGGUGGAAUGCGCAGAUAUCAGGAGGAACACCGAUGGCGAAGGCAGGUCUCUGGGCCAAUACUGACACUGAGGAGCGAAAGCGUGGGGAGCGAACAGGAUUAGAUACCCUGGUAGUCCACGCCGUAAACGGUGGGCGCUAGUUGUGCGAACCUUCCACGGUUUGUGCGACGCAGCUAACGC
RNAcentral lists this ribosomal RNA (786 nucleotides) under uncultured Actinomycetes bacterium. RNAcentral describes it as "bacterial SSU rRNA". It matches the Rfam family "Bacterial small subunit ribosomal RNA", at positions 56 to 858 of the family's 1533-position model. Lineage: Bacteria; Bacillati; Actinomycetota; Actinomycetes. The record is from RNAcentral.